Rosa chinensis is the source of this 565-nucleotide long non-coding RNA. RefSeq lists it as uncharacterized. The record is from RefSeq and is a predicted model, not a curated record. The transcript is spliced from 4 exons. Lineage: Eukaryota; Viridiplantae; Streptophyta; Magnoliopsida; Rosales; Rosaceae.
GCCUGCUCUUUUACAGGUCUAUUUGAUAUGCUUUUCAUCUUGAUUUAUCUCCAAUCUUAAGGUAGUUUGUUGACCUUUUCUUUUGUUCUACCGAUAACUUUCAAUGCAAUUUAAUCAGAUUACAAUAAUCUGAUUGUAUUAUUUGCUUUAGAGUUCAGAGUCAGUAUUCAUGUUACCUGCCUAAAACAUUACAUAACCAGGAUCUAAGAUCUUUCUCCGUUGCCUCUAACGAGGAUCUAAGAGCUCGUUUCGGAUCUCGUUCUGUGCUGUGGAAUAAUGGAUACUCGUAAACGAGGGAGGAAUGAAGCUACUGGCUUUCAUGCUAAUGGAGGCUUCAAGAAGAACAAGCAAGUUUUGAUUGAAUGACUCCCUGCACCAAGUUUUUCAGGUUAUGAUUGAAGAUAUUGGGAAGCAGAUUAAGCAACUAUAAACCUACAAGGUGCAAGACAUUGAUUUACUUGACUAGAAUUGUUGAACUGUAAUUUGUUAUACUUUAUAAAUUUGUUUGCAUAUGGUGUAUUUUGAUUCAGUUAAUAUUGCAUUUGGUGGUGUAUUUUGAGGGGUG